UACGUAGGGUGCAAGCGUUGUCCGGAAUUAUUGGGCGUAAAGAGCUCGUAGGCGGUUUGUCGCGUCUGCUGUGAAAUCCCGAGGCUCAACCUCGGGCGUGCAGUGGGUACGGGCAGACUGGAGUGCGGUAGGGGAGAUCGGAAUUCCUGGUGUAGCGGUGAAAUGCGCAGAUAUCAGGAGGAACACCGGUGGCGAAGGCGGAUCUCUGGGCCAUUACUGACGCUGAGGAGCGAAAGCGUGGGGAGCGAACAGG
This 253-nucleotide ribosomal RNA is filed under the name uncultured bacterium. Its description in RNAcentral is "partial 16S ribosomal RNA". It matches the Rfam family "Bacterial small subunit ribosomal RNA", at positions 524 to 776 of the family's 1533-position model. The record is from RNAcentral.